CCUCAACCUCACAAAGUGCUGGGGUUACAGGUGUGAGUCAUUGCACCUGGCCCAAUAUUCAUUUUUUUAAAGUUCCUUCUGACUUCCCUCUUUAGUCUGACCAUUUUUUCAUUUCACUGUUUCUCAGAAAAGAGCUAUCUGACUUGUGAGUUGGUUGUGACAUUAAUUCUAGAAAAAUGAUAUACAGCUUGACAAGAAUUCUGUGCAUUUCUCUCUUCUUUUGUUUAAAAACCAUAGAUUUUUGUUAUGAAAACUUAAAAAUACAGAUAGAGAAAAACUGGAGUAAUUUCUCUCUACACAUCAGCUAGAGUCAGCAGUUAUCAGAAUUUUGCCACGUGGCUUCUUUUUUAUAUCUGGAAUUUAUUUUGAGAAUUUAGUUCUUUUGAGCAGCCCAGUUUUCUUGUCAUCAGAUCACACUGCCUUCAGUUAUGCUAUUUUUUAAGUAGGAGUUCUUUAAAAAUAGAACUCAUGAGUCUUAGAUUUCUAAAGUGUUCUUUCAUGGAAUCCUGCUUUAUAUCUUACAUACUGUCUCCUUUGGAAAUCUGGCUAGAGAUUUUUAUAACUUAUGCAACCUGGUUUUUUAGAUAGUGAUAGUGGUAGGCUCUCACUUUUUAAGUUUAUAUUUUGCUCAAUAUUCACAGAAUCACAGAUUCUCAGAAUUUGAAGGGAUGCAGUUACUUAGCUGACAACUUCUUCUCAUAGGUGAAAUAGAAAGAUUUGAUUUGAACUAUUUAUUAUACCUUUAAACAAACCUAAACCAUGAGAGAAACAUUGAUUUAGAAUCUGAAAAAAGCUAUGAUUAAUAUAUGUUCUUUGUAGUAACUUGAGAAACUACAAAAAAUUAUGAAGAUGAAAAAUUAGACGUAGCUACUAAAAUUACCUACUCAGAAACAAUCAUUUAUAUUGUGGCAUAUUUCCUUCUGCCCGUUCUAUAUUUAGUAAAAUGAGUACCAGCUUAUUGCAUAUUCUACAUGUACUUUAUUUUUCUACAUACAUUUUCAUGUUAUGAGCAAUAUAUUUUGGUGACCUACUGCACACUGAGUGUAGGUUCUAGAGACCGCAGAGUUGAUGACAUCUAAUCAAAGUUACCUUUGAAAAGUGCCCUCUUAAUCAUGAGCACUUUUGUAAGCUUGAAGUUCAAUAAUUAUCCAGUUUUGAUCUUUUUGCAUUUUGGAUGUAGCCUUCCUUUCUAUCCCUCUCUGAACAGUCGGGCAAGGAAGGGGAGAGAUUUUCCCCUUUUGGCGCUUAUAGCCAAGUUGGAGGAAUACAAUUCUGGUAAAAUGUGGCUCCGGAUUAUGAGUAUUUAGUUUGUUUGAUUGCUUUCUUCCCCCAAGGACUGUGAUUUACCCUCUCAGCAUAUAUCCAGGGGUGAUAGUCAAAAUGUUAACAUCCUCAAAAAUUCUGACCAGAAGCUCCCUGUGCUGAAAAUUUCCAAGAUGGAUUCCAAAACAGAUGACUUUCCACAUCUUCAAAUCAGGCUUACCUUUCCUUGAUUCAACCUGCAGACCUCAGUCCACCAGCUAUAAACACUGCCAGUUAUGAAUCUUACAGUAAUUUGUGGAUUCUUAUUGUGGUCAGUGGAGAGAAUCUGGGACUUACCUAACUCUCUAGAAGUAGUUUAAAAGGGCUAAUGGUGGCUACAAAGUCACAUAAACAAAAUUUAGGUUAAAAGUUGGCACACGUAUAAAGUGGGAGAUACAGUUUAAAACUCAUUUUAUUCUAUUAAAAUUUUGUAUCUUUUUUAGCCUAAAGAGUUACAAUUUUCAUUUAUUUAAAAUAAACCAACUUUGAAACAGAAA
Molecule: long non-coding RNA, 1799 nt
Organism: Homo sapiens (human)
Lineage: Eukaryota; Metazoa; Chordata; Mammalia; Primates; Hominidae
Exons: 2
Source: RefSeq, a predicted model, not a curated record